GAAAAGGGAGAGAACAAGGAAAAAGAAAACCAAGUCAAUUUUAAGGCAAUACACAAGGUACUGUCCAUUGGCAAGAAAAGCUCCAAGGAUAAAGGAAAGGAAGAAAGAGUCAAGCUUGAAAGAGGAAACUUAAGAAUUAGAGCCAUGAUUGGAGACUAAGGAACUACACAACACAAGACUCAAAGUAUUGAUUCUAGAACUGUUCACUAUGGCUAAGUAAAUUAUGUGCCACGGUGUAAUUGGAAGAUAAGCAUCACUAUAGUCUUAAGAUGUCUUCACCGCGGCCAUAUUUUGUCUUCACUGUGGCAACCUCAUCGAUUUUGAUGAAGCUCCUCUUAGGAAAGCUUCAUUACGGCAAACAUUUCCCUUAGCCGCAAUGAAGUCCUCAUAUUAGCAA
This is a long non-coding RNA of Neltuma alba, 397 nucleotides long. RefSeq lists it as uncharacterized. The transcript has 3 exons. Lineage: Eukaryota; Viridiplantae; Streptophyta; Magnoliopsida; Fabales; Fabaceae. The record is from RefSeq and is a predicted model, not a curated record.